GACGCCCAGCGGAGGCAAAGGGGGAGGAGGAAAACACAUUCUGACAAAUACGGAUGCUUGUGAGCCUUGAAUAUUAAAGGACGCAGGAACACAUGACAGGAGGCUUGUGAGCUUUGACAUUAAUAAUUUACAAGAGCGGGAACUCAUCGCUACGAGACUCUUAUCUGGCCAGCUGUGGUUACAGCGACACACGGCGGCCUAAUGAAGACUGAGCAAGGAAAGAGGUCGCUAGUGAAGAAGGGUCUAGCUGUAGCUAACAUGACUGACUAGCUUGGGCGAAGUAACACAGACAGA
Portunus trituberculatus (swimming crab) is the source of this 294-nucleotide long non-coding RNA. RefSeq lists it as uncharacterized. The record is from RefSeq and is a predicted model, not a curated record. The transcript is spliced from 3 exons. Lineage: Eukaryota; Metazoa; Arthropoda; Malacostraca; Decapoda; Portunidae.